GAUGAAGAACGCAGCGAAAUGCGAUAAGUAAUGUGAAUUGCAGAAUUCAGUGAAUCAUCGAAUCUUUGAACGCACAUUGCGCCCCUUGGUAUUCCGAGGUGCAUGCCUGUUCGAGCGUCAUUAUAACCCCUCAAGCUCAGCUUGGUGUUGGGGCCUGCUGCACUGGCAGCCCUUAAAAUCAGUGGCGGCGCCAUCUGGCUCUAAGCGUAGUAAUUCUUCUCGCUAUGGAGUCCUGGUGGAUGCUUGCCAUCAACCCCCAAUUUUUCUAUGGUUGACCUCGGAUCAGGUAGGGAUACCCGCUGAACUUAAGCAUAUCAAUAAGCGGAGGA
RNAcentral lists this unclassified non-coding RNA (329 nucleotides) under soil metagenome. RNAcentral's name for it is "partial contains 5.8S ribosomal RNA, internal transcribed spacer 2, and large subunit ribosomal RNA". The stretch from base 1 to 120 matches the Rfam family "5.8S ribosomal RNA", at positions 35 to 154 of the family's 154-position model. The record is from RNAcentral.